GAUGAACGCUAGCUACAGGCUUAACACAUGCAAGUCGAGGGGCAGCAGGAUCUAGCAAUAGAUUGCUGGCGACCGGCGCACGGGUGAGUAACACGUAUCCAACCUGCCGAUAACUCGGGGAUAGCCUUUCGAAAGAAAGAUUAAUACCCGAUGGUAUAAUCAGACCGCAUGGUCUUGUUAUUAAAGAAUUUCGGUUAUCGAUGGGGAUGCGUUCCAUUAGGCAGUUGGUGAGGUAACGGCUCACCAAACCUUCGAUGGAUAGGGGUUCUGAGAGGAAGGUCCCCCACAUUGGAACUGAGACACGGUCCAAACUCCUACGGGAGGCAGCAGUGAGGAAUAUUGGUCAAUGGGCGCAGGCCUGAACCAGCCAAGUAGCGUGAAGGAUGACUGCCCUAUGGGUUGUAAACUUCUUUUAUAUGGGAAUAAAGUUUUCCACGUGUGGAAUUUUGUAUGUACCAUAUGAAUAAGGAUCGGCUAACUCCGUGCCAGCAGCCGCGGUAAUACGGAGGAUCCGAGCGUUAUCCGGAUUUAUUGGGUUUAAAGGGAGCGUAGGUGGACAGUUAAGUCAGUUGUGAAAGUUUGCGGCUCAACCGUAAAAUUGCAGUUGAUACUGGCUGUCUUGAGUACAGUAGAGGUGGGCGGAAUUCGUGGUGUAGCGGUGAAAUGCUUAGAUAUCACGAAGAACUCCGAUUGCGAAGGCAGCUCACUGGACUGCAACUGACACUGAUGCUCGAAAGUGUGGGUAUCAAACAGG
Molecule: ribosomal RNA, 754 nt
Filed under: uncultured bacterium
Lineage: Bacteria
Description: bacterial SSU rRNA
Rfam family: Bacterial small subunit ribosomal RNA
Source: RNAcentral